CCUACGGGUGGCAGCAGUCGAGAAUCAUUCACAAUGGGGGAAACCCUGAUGGUGCGACGCCGCGUGGGGGAAUGAAGGUCUUCGGAUUGUAAACCCCUGUCAUGUGGGCGCAAAUUAACAAGAUAGUACCACAAGAGGAAGAGACGGCUAACUCUGUGCCAGCAGCCGCGGUAAUACAGAGGUCUCAAGCGUUGUUCGGAUUCACUGGGCGGAAAGCGUGCGUAGGCUGUUUCGUAAGUCGUGUGUGAAAGGCGCGGGCUCAACCCGCGGACGGCACAUGAUACUGCGAGACUAGAGUAAUGGAGGGGGAACCGGAAUUCUCGGUGUAGCAGUGAAAUGCGUAGAUAUCGAGAGGAACACUCGUGGCGAAGGCGGGUUCCUGGACAUUAACUGACGCUGAGGCACGAAGGCCAGGGGAGCGAAAGGGAUUAGAUACCCUAGUAGUC
Molecule: ribosomal RNA, 446 nt
Filed under: uncultured bacterium
Lineage: Bacteria
Description: partial 16S ribosomal RNA
Rfam family: Bacterial small subunit ribosomal RNA
Source: RNAcentral